This 1538-nucleotide small RNA is filed under the name Vigna angularis var. angularis. RNAcentral's name for it is "Non-protein coding transcript". The record is from RNAcentral. Lineage: Eukaryota; Viridiplantae; Streptophyta; Magnoliopsida; Fabales; Fabaceae.
CCAAAACCAAGCAAUGCCCACACGGCUUAUUCACCACACCCAUUUGAACAACGGAAAAAAAAAGUAAAGCAACGUACGGACACAAACAAAAGUUGUACCUAAGAUAGUAACAAAAAAAGACGAUGUAGUUAGUUACAAAGCUCACGCGCUAUGCCAACCCUAUUAUUAACUGUGUCGAACAUAAUCCUAAGGUUCUGUUGCUGGUAGUUGGCGAUGACGUUGAGCACCGAGUUUACGUUGUUGGGCGCCGCCGCCAUAGCCAGGCACGCCACAGCGCCGUAGGUGCUAUGUAUGAGGGUGUUCUCGUAGGGCAGAGUGAGAUCCAAUCCCGUGAACCGAAACUUGAUCAACGGUGCCAGCGUCUCGUAGGUCUUAACAAAGCACGUGUCGAAUGACCCUAUGCUAACGAACGGUCCCUUCACCUGGUUUCUGAACUCAUCCCUGAUUGCGUUGUAAACCGGUUGCACGAAUCGGGUUAUGACCGUGCCCGAAUCUAUAAUGGUUCCAGAUCCUCUGUUCGGGUCAAACGCGAGAUACUCGGUGGGUAAUGGGACCUGAACCCGGCCCACUGUCACUCCAGUUAGGUUCACGUAGUAGAGUGAUGGCCGCCGCGGGUUUCGGAGAAGUGGGGUGGAGCGGAUUCUUCUGGGCUGACCUGUGCGCCCGAGUAUCAGGGACCCGGAAAAGUAAAAGGAUUUGAAACUGGGAAGACAGUAGGAGAAGACGCCGGAGUAGAGUGACCAAGAUUGGGUAAGUAGGGACAAGGGCCCGCGGCCCAAGCCCAGAAGGCCUUGGGCCGGGAUUGUGCCUCCGGAGACGGAGUUGACGCACCCGAAAGCGUAGCUAGGGAUAGUGUCUACGGCCAAACUGAGGGAAUCUUGCACGAUCGUGGCGGAGAAUGUGGAGCCUGCGUUACGAAAAAAUGUGAUUGGUUGAAGAUGCAAGCUCUGGAACCGGUGUUGGGGCAAGGGAGGGCUCCACGAGCCUGGGCGCAACGCGGGGAGUAGCAAGCCACGGGGCCGCCAUAAGUGGUGGAGGCUUGCGGCGAGUAGGUGGUGGAGGAAGAGCAACCGAUGCAGCCACUACACGGGACCCAAGCCUCAUCGGUGCUGGUAUCCAGGACCAUAAAAAAGAGUUGACCCGGAGUGCCGAGUUUGACUCGGACCACGUAGUUACCGAUGUCGAAGGCCUGCCCCGAAGCUAUUGGGGCGGCGGAAACGCGCUUUUUCCUGAGCGACGAGUCGAGGCCAAACAGGUACUCAACCCUGAGAGGGUCCUUGGAGGCCAUGUCGAUGAUGGUGGUAUCCCAGGAGUCUGAGAGAUUCUUGAAAGGGGAGCAGUUGCCGUAGAUGGGAAUGACGAUGAUACCGGAGUCGUCACUUUGAGAGGCGCAUGGGUCGGUGGCAAUGGCUACGGUGGAGAAGUAGAGUAACAGUGUUGCAGUGAAAAGAAUUAGGGUGGCGGUGAUGGUGUUAACACCCAUAAUUGGUGUGUGUUGAUGGAGGAGGAAAAGAAUAUCGUAGUAUAGUACUUGUUUA